This 469-nucleotide ribosomal RNA is filed under the name uncultured bacterium. RNAcentral's name for it is "partial 16S ribosomal RNA". It matches the Rfam family "Bacterial small subunit ribosomal RNA", at positions 28 to 507 of the family's 1533-position model. The record is from RNAcentral.
GAUGAACGCUGGCGGCGUGCUUAACACAUGCAAGUCGAACGGUGAAGCUCCAGCUUGCUGGAGUGGAUCAGUGGCGAACGGGUGAGUAACACGUGAGCAACCUGCCCCUGACUCUGGGAUAACAGCCGGAAACGGCUGCUAAUACCGGAUAUGCACCAUGAACGCAUGUUCUGUGGUGGGAAAGAUUUUUCGGUUGGGGAUGGGCUCGCGGCCUAUCAGCUUGUUGGUGAGGUAAUGGCUCACCAAGGCGUCGACGGGUAGCCGGCCUGAGAGGGUGACCGGCCACACUGGGACUGAGACACGGCCCAGACUCCUACGGGAGGCAGCAGUGGGGAAUAUUGUACAAUGGGCGGAAGCCUGAUGCAGCAACGCCGCGUGAGGGAUGACGGCCUUCGGGUUGUAAACCUCUUUUAGCAGGGAAGAAGCGAGAGUGACGGUACCUGCAGAAAAAGCGCCGGCUAACUACGUG